GCCAAAUUAGCCUUUUAAUUCAAGAGGAGGAAUUCUUCCAAUACAUUGCUGAUAAAAUGAUAUUAGGGUGGUGGCUGUAAAAGAGUUGUUUAAAACUUUUUCCUUCAAUCUUGGGGGAAAAAGAGCACCAAAAACUGUGCAUAGGAAAGCAGGGUGGGUAUAUAGUGCAAGCCAGUUGAGAUUCUUCAAACAUCUUUGUAAAUUCAAAGUUUUUUUCAGUAAUGAAAUGGGACUUGAGCAAAAAAGAGAGCUCAGUUUUCUU
Molecule: unclassified non-coding RNA, 262 nt
Filed under: Hevea brasiliensis (rubber tree)
Lineage: Eukaryota; Viridiplantae; Streptophyta; Magnoliopsida; Malpighiales; Euphorbiaceae
Source: RNAcentral